Molecule: long non-coding RNA, 991 nt
Organism: Triticum urartu
Lineage: Eukaryota; Viridiplantae; Streptophyta; Magnoliopsida; Poales; Poaceae
Source: RefSeq, a predicted model, not a curated record
AAAAAAUGCCAUCCAAUUCAUGUUCACUUUCAUUACCAUGCAAUUUCUCCUUUUUUCCAUUACUUCCCCUUUUUCUUUUCCAUUUUCUAGGCACCUGAAAGACCAAAGUGCCCCUGAUCCUAUCUAACCUUAUCUGAUGCGUGUGGACUGGUUGGAUAAGGAUUGCUCUCAGGCUACCUCGCUCUUGUCGUCACGGGUUGCUCGUCGUCGAACCUCACCGCUGCCAGCCCAAGCCACCGCAGCUCUCCGCCCUAGCUUGCCCACGCCUGUGCGAGCAACCGUAGCUCCCCGACGGUGCUCACCGACGCUGAUGCCCGAGCGAGCCACUGCGACUCGCUGCCGGUUCUCGUCCACGUCUGCAGGCGCCGGCGCAGUUCGUCCUCGCCUCGCGGAUGCCUGCGCUAGAUACCGCAGCUCGCUGCGGGUUCUCCCCCACGCCUGCGCGCGAUAGCGCAGCUCUCUGCGGGUGCUUGCCAUCCCCUCGGCUCAUUGGCGCAGCUCGCCCUCCCCUGCUGGAGAAGUGUUUUAGUGGCGAGGGUGGUGCUGAAGAGAAGACGAUGCCUUGUACAGGUCCUGAGCAAGUGGCGUGAUGGCAGCAGCGGCCGGAGGAGGAGAUGGAUUCGUGUGUAGGUCCUGAAGAUGUUGAAUGCAAGCAACAUUGGUGACUUCCGGGCAAAGCCAGGGCGGCUGCUUGACAUUGUGGGGUUGAUUAACAUCUGCCACUGAGUCGCUGGAUCUACCUAUUAUUACUUGCAAUCCAGUAGUAGAGCACCCUGACUCAUUCAGCUCCGUAAGCAUCCUUUGUUCCCUUUCUUUUGGUUGUUUGAAUCAUUUGAUUCCACUUUGUUUCCAUCGCAAAGAAAAAUUACCACCAAUUAAAUCGACCCGUGGUGAUAAUAUAUGUGAUCAAUUUAUGUUUGUCAUCCUCGUGUUCUUGUACGAUUAACAUCCAUCAUCUGUUUUUGGAAUAAAGAAAUGUAACUACUCUAUA